RNAcentral lists this ribosomal RNA (492 nucleotides) under uncultured bacterium. RNAcentral's name for it is "partial 16S ribosomal RNA". It matches the Rfam family "Bacterial small subunit ribosomal RNA", at positions 29 to 507 of the family's 1533-position model. The record is from RNAcentral.
AGUGAACGCUGGCGGUAGGCCUAACACAUGCAAGUCGAACGGCAGCACAGUAAGAGCUUGCUCUUACGGGUGGCGAGUGGCGGACGGGUGAGGAAUACAUCGGAAUCUACUUUUUCGUGGGGGAUAACGUAGGGAAACUUACGCUAAUACCGCAUACGACCUACGGGUGAAAGCAGGGGAUCUUCGGACCUUGCGCGAUUGAAUGAGCCGAUGUCGGACUAGCUAGUUGGCGGGGUAAAGGCCCACCAAGGCGACGAUCCGUAGCUGGUCUGAGAGGAUGAUCAGCCACACUGGAACUGAGACACGGUCCAGACUCCUACGGGAGGCAGCAGUGGGGAAUAUUGGACAAUGGGCGCAAGCCUGAUCCAGCCAUACCGCGUGGGUGAAGAAGGCCUUCGGGUUGUAAGGCCCUUUUGUUGGGAAAGAAAAGCAGCAGGUUAAUACCCCGCUGUUCUGACGGUACCCAAAGAAUAAGCACCGGCUAACUUCGUG